This 252-nucleotide ribosomal RNA is filed under the name uncultured bacterium. RNAcentral describes it as "partial 16S ribosomal RNA". It matches the Rfam family "Bacterial small subunit ribosomal RNA", at positions 524 to 776 of the family's 1533-position model. The record is from RNAcentral.
UACGGAGGAUGCGAGCGUUAUCCGGAUUUAUUGGGUUUAAAGGGUGCGCAGGCGGUCUGUUAAGUCAGCGGUCAAAGCCCGGGGCUCAACCCCGGCCCGCCGUUGAGACUGGCAGUCUCGAGUUGGAGAGAAGUAUGCGGAAUGCGCGGUGUAGCGGUGAAAUGCAUAGAUAUCGCGCAGAACUCCGAUUGCGAAGGCAGCAUGCCGGCUCCACACUGACGCUGAGGCACGAAAGCGUGGGUAUCGAACAGG